ACACCGGCCGCCCAAGUGGUGGCCAUUUUUAUUGGGCCUAAAGCGUUCGUAGCCGGCCUGAUAAGUCUCUGGUGAAAUCCCGCAGCUUAACUGUGGGAAUUGCUGGAGAUACUAUCAGGCUUGAGGUCGGGAGAGGUUAGAGGUACUCCCAGGGUAGGGGUGAAAUCCUAUAAUCCUGGGAGGACCACCUGUGGCGAAGGCGUCUAACUGGAACGAACCUGACGGUGAGUAACGAAAGCCAGGGGCGCGAACCGGAUUAGAUACCCGGGUAGUCCUGGCCGUAAACGAUGUGGACUUGGUGUUGGGAUGGCCUCGAGCUGCCCCAGUGCCGAAGGGAAGCUGUUAAGUCCACCGCCUGGGAAGUACGGCCGCAAGGCUGAAACUCAAAAGAAUUGACGGGG
This 401-nucleotide ribosomal RNA is filed under the name uncultured bacterium. RNAcentral's name for it is "partial 16S ribosomal RNA". It matches the Rfam family "Archaeal small subunit ribosomal RNA", at positions 473 to 873 of the family's 1478-position model. The record is from RNAcentral.